UAGUAUUAAAUAGAGUAAUUAGUUUUAAAAAGAAACAUUAUUAAAAAGGGAUCCCUUUAAUUUUCCUAGGUACAGCCAAUUAAUAUUUUCAUUUCCCAUUCUCUUUUUGAAGAAACCAACGGCCGAGGGUUGGGAUUCAUUAGGGAACUCUACAGUUUUUUUUAUUAUUUAGUUUUUUUCAUUUUUAUUUUUUCUAGUUUAUCUUAGUUUAUACAUUUAAGUUAGCAUUAAAAUAUCAGUUAGUUAGUAUGUGGUCUGGUGGAGGGGAGUGACUUUUAGAUCUUUAGUGUAGUGGGUUCGAUACUCCUAGGUGUAGUUUUUCUUUCUUUUAAUAUUUUCUUUUAUAUUUAUGUUUUAUUAUUCAUAUUUCCUUUUUU
This 377-nucleotide long non-coding RNA is filed under the name Lathyrus oleraceus (garden pea). RNAcentral describes it as "Pisum sativum (pea) long non-coding RNA (PSAT_LNC009121)". The record is from RNAcentral. Lineage: Eukaryota; Viridiplantae; Streptophyta; Magnoliopsida; Fabales; Fabaceae.